UACGUAGGGUGCGAGCGUUGUCCGGAAUUAUUGGGCGUAAAGAGCUCGUAGGCGGUCUGUCGCGUCGGAUGUGAAAGCCCGGGGCUUAACUCCGGGUCUGCAUUCGAUACGGGCAGACUAGAGUGUGGUAGGGGAGACUGGAAUUCCUGGUGUAGCGGUGAAAUGCGCAGAUAUCAGGAGGAACACCGGUGGCGAAGGCGGGUCUCUGGGCCAAUACUGACGCUGAGGAGCGAAAGCGUGGGGAGCGAACAGG
RNAcentral lists this ribosomal RNA (253 nucleotides) under uncultured bacterium. RNAcentral describes it as "partial 16S ribosomal RNA". It matches the Rfam family "Bacterial small subunit ribosomal RNA", at positions 524 to 776 of the family's 1533-position model. The record is from RNAcentral.